ACAAAUCAUCAUAGUGCUUCGGCGCUAUAUACACCCCAAGCCUGGGAAGAGCAGCGAUGCUUGGAACGGCUUUGGUUGCGGUCCGCGAGGGCCGCCGGCUAGGGCGCUGCAAGGCAACCUGGCCACAUAGACGCUUGCUUGGUUUGACAGAGUUUAGUUGCAUCAUAACGAAUA
Molecule: unclassified non-coding RNA, 174 nt
Filed under: soil metagenome
Description: partial internal transcribed spacer 1
Source: RNAcentral